Molecule: ribosomal RNA, 443 nt
Filed under: uncultured bacterium
Lineage: Bacteria
Description: partial 16S ribosomal RNA
Rfam family: Bacterial small subunit ribosomal RNA
Source: RNAcentral
CCUACGGGCGGCAGCAGUGGGGAAUAUUGGGCAAUGGGCGCACGCCUGACCCAGCAACGCCGCGUGAAGGAAGAAGGCUUUCGGGUUGUAAACUUCUUUUCUCAGGGACGAAGCAAGUGACGGUACCUGAGGAAUAAGCCACGGCUAAAUACGUGCCAGCAGCCGCGGUAAUAAGUAGGUGGCAAGCGUUAUCAGGAUUUAUUGGGUGUAAAGGGCGUGUAAGCGGGAGCGGAAGUCAGAUGUGAAAACUCAGGGCUCAACCCUGAGCCUGCAGUUGAAACUGUGUUUCUUGAGUGCUGGGGAGGCAAGCGGAAUGCCGUGUGUAGCGGUGAAAUGCGUAGAUAUACGGAAGAACACCAGUUGCGAAGGCGGAUUGCUGGACAGUAACUGACGCUGAGGCGCGAAAGCGUGGGUAGCGAACAGGAUUAGAUACCCGAGUAGUC